This 1263-nucleotide long non-coding RNA is filed under the name Mus musculus (house mouse). RNAcentral's name for it is "long non-coding RNA chr18:36332194-36333457". The record is from RNAcentral. Lineage: Eukaryota; Metazoa; Chordata; Mammalia; Rodentia; Muridae.
UCUCUGUAUAGCCCCGGCUGUCCUGGAACUCACUCUGUAGAUCAGGCUGGCCUCGAACUUAGAAAUCCAUCUGCCUCUGCCUCCCAAGUGCUGGGAUUAAAGGCGUGCACCACCACGCCCGGUUGCAUUUUGCCUUUGUGAGAAGUGGCUGCACUCUCACAAACUAUACUCAUUUGCACCAGCAGUGUGUAAGUUGUAGUUGCUCUGGGUAGAGUCUUUCUUGUUUUGUUAUUGAUACAGGGUCUUGCUAUGCAGUCCCAGACUGGCCUAAAACUCAGCCCAAGCUAAGCUCAGAUUCCAGGUUGUCCUGCCUCAGAGCACGGCACGCAGAGGCUACAAGCAUCCGUCACCAUAACUGGCUUGAUAAUAACGACCGGUGUUCCCUCCCUCCCCAUGGACAGAACUUGGCUUCCCAACAAGGAUCUCCAGUGUUUAAAUUGGUACAUGGUGCACAAAAAGCAUUAGUACUUGUGAGGUGAGCGUGACUAGGAAACCUCUUGUGACCCCUCCUCUCAUCCUGUGCCUCUCGUGGUUUUUUGUUUGUUUGGUUGGUUGUUUUUGUUUUUGUUUUGUUUUGUUUUGUUUUGUUUUUUUCCUGCAGUUACUGUGGCAACCAACUUGCAGUAAGUAGAGCUGCUUGGCCUGUCCGCCCCUCUCAGCCCCUCUCAGCCCCUCUCAGGGGUUGUCUCAGUGCCUCUGCCUAUCGAUUCCUACUGUGCAGCCCGGAAGCCUGGCACAUGGCACUGGAAGCCAAUGAAACAUAACCCUUUCUCUGAUGCUCACUGGACACUUGGGUGCAUUCUCCCCUGCUUUGAGGUUUGUUCCCACUGGGUCAGGACCCAGGUGUCCCACAUCGAGUCUCAUUGUGCUAUGACCCUUUCUACUGCUCUCCAGACAGUAUUUUUCUUUCUUUCUUUUUUAAGAUUUUUAUUUAUUUAUUUUAUAUGAGUACACAGUUGUUCUCUUCAGAUGCACCAGAAGAGGGCAUCCCAUUACAGAUGGUUGUGAGCCACCCUGUGGUUGCUGGGAUUUGAACUCAGGACCUCUGGAAGAACAGUCAGUGCUCUUAACCACCGAGCCAUCUCUCCAGCCCUCCAGGAUCUUAGCAGCAUCAAGCCCUUUCCUUGCUUUCUCUGCUUGGAAGGAAGUGGCAGAGGUGGAAAAGAAACUAGAACAAAUACAUGGAACUUACAGACCAGUGAGAGAGAUCAAUAAUAAUUCGAAGAUGGACAUCUGAAUAAUUAUAGGUGAAGAGGUACCUCA